UCCUCUAGAGAUUAGAGUUUGAUCCUGGCUCAGGAUGAACGCUAGCGGCAGGCCUAAUACAUGCAAGUCGAACGGUGUCUUCGGACAUAGUGGCGCACGGGUGCGUAACACGUAUGCAACCUACCUUACAUUGGGGGAUAGCCUUUCGAAAGGGAGAUUAAUACCGCAUAAGACAGUAGCUGGGCAUCCAGCAGCUGUUAAAGAUUUAUCGAUGUAAGCUGGGCAUGCGUCCAAUUAGCUAGUUGGUGAGGUAACGGCUCACCAAGGCUAUGAUUGGUAGGGGAACUGAGAGGUCAAUCCCCCACACUGGCACUGAGAUACGGGCCAGACUCCUACGGGAGGCAGCAGUAGGGAAUAUUGGGCAAUGGACGCAAGUCUGACCCAGCCAUGCCGCGUGCAGGAUGAAGGCGUUAUGCGUUGUAAACUGCUUUUAUACAGGAAGAAACGACUCUUGCGAGAGGCAUUGACGGUACUGUAUGAAUAAGCACCGGCUAACUCCGUGCCAGCAGCCGCGGUAAUACGGAGGGUGCAAGCGUUGUCCGGAUUUAUUGGGUUUAAAGGGUGCGCAGGUGGUUUAUUAAGUCAGUGGUGAAAGACGGUCGCUCAACGAUUGCAGUGCCAUUGAAACUGGUAGACUUGAGUAAAGUAGAGGUGGG
RNAcentral lists this ribosomal RNA (656 nucleotides) under uncultured bacterium. RNAcentral describes it as "bacterial SSU rRNA". It matches the Rfam family "Bacterial small subunit ribosomal RNA", at positions 1 to 661 of the family's 1533-position model. The record is from RNAcentral.